RNAcentral lists this ribosomal RNA (497 nucleotides) under uncultured bacterium. Its description in RNAcentral is "partial 16S ribosomal RNA". It matches the Rfam family "Bacterial small subunit ribosomal RNA", at positions 28 to 507 of the family's 1533-position model. The record is from RNAcentral.
GAAGAACGCUGGCGGCGUGCCUAAUACAUGCAAGUCGAGCGAACAGACGAGGAGCUUGCUCCUCUGACGUUAGCGGCGGACGGGUGAGUAACACGUGGAUAACCUACCUAUAAGACUGGGAUAACUUCGGGAAACCGGAGCUAAUACCGGAUAAUAUAUUGAACCGCAUGGUUCAAUAGUGAAAGACGGUUUUGCUGUCACUUAUAGAUGGAUCCGCGCCGCAUUAGCUAGUUGGUAAGGUAACGGCUUACCAAGGCGACGAUGCGUAGCCGACCUGAGAGGGUGAUCGGCCACACUGGAACUGAGACACGGUCCAGACUCCUACGGGAGGCAGCAGUAGGGAAUCUUCCGCAAUGGGCGAAAGCUUGACGGAGCAACGCCGCGUGAGUGAUGAAGGUCUUCGGAUCGUAAAACUCUGUUAUUAGGGAAGAACAAAUGUGUAAGUAACUAUGCACGUCUUGACGGUACCUAAUCAGAAAGCCACGGCUAACUACGUG